GAAAGCAGUUCCAUUUCAAAGAUAAGGAGUUAUACACCAUCUAGUGAGAUUUUCAAGUGCUUAGAAGACUUUGGCAAAUUUCAGUUUUUCAUAUGGCUAAAUUCGAUGCCCUCGUUGGUGGUUUGACGUGCUGGAUGGUGGUGUCACAAGAUUUAGAUUUUGACAUUUGAUUCAAGCAUUAGAGAUUAAGAAUUAAAGAAAUCAGUUUUGGAUCGGGGAAAAACAAAGGUGGUCGAGUAGCCGAUUUAACAGUCGAUGACAUUCGAGAUUAUGGAAUUGGUUACGAGCUCGGGGAUCGUUAGCAAGACUUAUCACACUAUCGACAGUUUCCUUCGGUACUUUACUAAGUUGAUCUUGAGUAUAUGACACGUAUAGCAUAGUUAAUAUGUUGAUUUUGGAACUAAUGUGUAUGUUUAAUUAAUAGCCAUGUGAAAAUGGCUUAUCUCCUUUUUGUUUGGGUUUGGUAUUGAUGCAUAUGGUAAAAUAAGUAAAAUGGAUAUUUUUCUUGUGUAUAUUCAGA
Long non-coding RNA from Gossypium raimondii (Peruvian cotton), 520 nucleotides. RefSeq lists it as uncharacterized. The transcript has 3 exons. The record is from RefSeq and is a predicted model, not a curated record. NCBI's taxonomy places the organism in Eukaryota, Viridiplantae, Streptophyta, Magnoliopsida, Malvales, Malvaceae.